Molecule: ribosomal RNA, 699 nt
Filed under: uncultured bacterium
Lineage: Bacteria
Description: bacterial SSU rRNA
Rfam family: Bacterial small subunit ribosomal RNA
Source: RNAcentral
AGGAGUUUGAUCCUGGCUCAGGAUGAACGCUAGCGGCAGGCUUAACACAUGCAAGUCGAGGGGUAACAUUGUAGCUUGCUACAGAUGACGACCGGCGCACGGGUGCGUAACGCGUAUACAAUCUACCUUUUGCUGAGGGAUAGCCCAGAGAAAUUUGGAUUAAGACCUCAUGGUAUGUAUGAAUGGCAUCAUUUAUAUAUUAAAGGUUACGGCAAAAGAUGAGUAUGCGUCCUAUUAGCUAGAUGGUAAGGUAACGGCUUACCACGGCGACGAUAGGUAGGGGCCCUGAGAGGGGGAUCCCCCACACUGGUACUGAGACACGGACCAGACUCCUACGGGAGGCAGCAGUGAGGAAUAUUGGGCAAUGGAGGCAACUCUGACCCAGCCAUGCCGCGUGCAGGAAGACUGCCCUAUGGGUUGUAAACUGCUUUUAUACAGGAAGAAACACUCCUUCGAGAAGGGAGCUUGACGGUACUGUAAGAAUAAGGAUCGGCUAACUCCGUGCCAGCAGCCGCGGUAAUACGGAGGAUCCAAGCGUUAUCCGGAAUCAUUGGGUUUAAAGGGUCCGUAGGUGGAUAAUUAAGUCAGAGGUGAAAUCCUGCAGCUCAACUGUAGAAUUGCCUUUGAAACUGGUUAUCUUGAGUCAUUAUGAAGUGGUUAGAAUGUGUAGUGUAGCGGUGAAAUGCAUAGAUAUUACAC